UUCCUACCAAUAACUAAUAAAUUAAAAGGCAUUCUUUUGAUAAUUAAAACUCCGGUGGUAUAAGAUGAGUGUGCGUCUGAUUAGCUAGUUGGUGGGGUAACGGCUCACCAAGGCAACGAUCAGUAGCUGGUCUGAGAGGAUGAUCAGCCACACGGGCACUGAGACACGGGCCCGACUCCUACGGGAGGCAGCAGUAGGGAAUAUCGGACAAUGGGCGCAAGCCUGAUCCAGCCAUCCCGCGUGAAGGAUUAAGGCCCUCUGGGUUGUAAACUUCUUUUCUUUGGGAAUAAAAACUCCGUUUCUACGGAGCUUGAAGGUACCAGAGGAAUAAGCACCGGCUAACUCCGUG
Molecule: ribosomal RNA, 349 nt
Filed under: uncultured bacterium
Lineage: Bacteria
Description: bacterial SSU rRNA
Rfam family: Bacterial small subunit ribosomal RNA
Source: RNAcentral